AUGUCAGCCCCAGAGAUGAAGUCCUCUGUCUAUAGAGCAGGUACAACACAAGGAGUAGUAAUGGAAGCUCCUGCACACUAACCUGUUGGGAUGCCUGGUCCCUGAUGUGGAGAGGGUACACCCCAAGAGGUGAGAUGGUGGUUCAUUCUCCAUGCCCAUUCAGUCCUAGGGUCCU
This is an unclassified non-coding RNA of Chelonoidis abingdonii (Abingdon island giant tortoise), 175 nucleotides long. Lineage: Eukaryota; Metazoa; Chordata; Testudines; Testudinidae. The record is from Ensembl.